This is a long non-coding RNA of Neopsephotus bourkii (Bourke's parrot), 821 nucleotides long. RefSeq lists it as uncharacterized. The record is from RefSeq and is a predicted model, not a curated record. Lineage: Eukaryota; Metazoa; Chordata; Aves; Psittaciformes; Psittacidae. The transcript is spliced from 2 exons.
GCAUGAUUGGUCUCUGUACUCUCCUAUGCUGCUCUCUGUCCAGCCUCAGGUGCUCCAGUGCCCAGAAAUGCACAAGGACCAGCACCUGGAGGUACUGACAUGUAAGAAAAGAUGGGUGCCUGUGUGUGAAAGAGAACUUGGAAGGGCUCUCUGUGCUUGGGCUGUUGCUUCAUGACCUGCAGUGGCCACCCAGCACCUGAACACACAGAGCUUGGACCCAGGUGUUGGGGAGCUGCAAAUGAGAUGAUGCAUGAGCUCCUGGGAUGCAGUGUUGUUCUGGGACAUCUGCUCUGGGCAUCCUGCUCUUCAGCUCUCCUGUUACUGGAGCCUUUUGGAUGCAGUGCAGAAGACAAGCAGCAAUUAGCACACUUACUAGCCUAAUCUUGAACCAACUGGCAGAUGAGAGCUGUUGCAACUUUCCGGUAGGUUUCUGUGCCAGGAAAUCAAACCAGCUAAUGAGGGCUGGGCUGCCGGCUUCUCUUACUGUUCUCCCAUGAAGGGAAGGCUUGGGUUUGAAGCAGCUCUGCAGUGCCAUAUCUGAAAGCUAGUGUUGUGGUUUUGUACACAUACACACACUUGAUUCUCUUCAUCAAUAUUUUACAUAUGCAGGUGUACAUAAUCUUCAUUUUUAUGCAAAUCUCUCUGCAGCCAGACAGGUGCAUUUUCUGAUUUCUAUUCAUCAUCAAGAAAUCCAAUAACUUGGUUGUGUACUUACAUCUGGUUAGGGGUUGACCCAGUGUGCACUUAAGCAUGGAUUUCAAAUAUGGGCAGCAGGGAAAUAGCUUAUUUCCCCCCUGGCCUUUAUAAAAUUAAAUGCAAAA